RNAcentral lists this ribosomal RNA (484 nucleotides) under uncultured bacterium. RNAcentral's name for it is "partial 16S ribosomal RNA". It matches the Rfam family "Bacterial small subunit ribosomal RNA", at positions 30 to 507 of the family's 1533-position model. The record is from RNAcentral.
AUUGAACGCUGGCGGCAUGCCUAACACAUGCAAGUCGAGCGGAUGAAGGGAGCUUUCUCCUGUCUGCUGCUACGGACGGGCGGGUGAGUCCCAGGAAUCUACCUUGCCUAUGGGGAUGACAUCACGUAAGGAGCCCUAAUCUCACACCCGUCCAUAUUUUGAACGGGGGGGUUCUUCGGACCUCAAGGGUCCAGCUGACCCUUAGACGGAUAAGCUAGUUGGUUGGGUAAAGGCCUACCAAGGCGACGAUCCGUAGCUGGUCUGAGAGGAUGAUCAGUCACACUGGAACUGAGACGCGGUCCAGACUCCUACGGGAGGCAGCAGUAGGGAAUAUUGCGCAAUGGGCGAAAGCCUGAUGGAGCAAUGCCGCGUGAGUGAAGAAGGUCUUCGGAUUGUAAAACUCUUUUAGUAGGGAGGAAGGGAAGUGUGUUAAUACCUUGCUGUUUUGACGGUACCAAAAGAAUAAGCACCGGCUAACUUCGUG